UACAGAGGGUGCGAGCGUUAAUCGGAAUUACUGGGCGUAAAGCGCGCGUAGGCGGCUUUUCAAGUCGAUUGUGAAAUCCCCGGGCUUAACCUGGGAACUGCAGUCGAGACUGUCUAGCUAAAGUAUGGGAGAGGGAAGUGGAAUUUCAGGUGUAGCGGUGAAAUGCGUAGAUAUCUGAAGGAACAUCAGUGGCGAAAGCGACUUCCUGGACCAAUACUGACGCUCAUGUGCGAAAGCGUGGGGAGCAAACAGG
RNAcentral lists this ribosomal RNA (253 nucleotides) under uncultured bacterium. Its description in RNAcentral is "partial 16S ribosomal RNA". It matches the Rfam family "Bacterial small subunit ribosomal RNA", at positions 524 to 776 of the family's 1533-position model. The record is from RNAcentral.